AGCGAUGAAAUUGAGAAAAAGUA
RNAcentral lists this non-coding RNA (23 nucleotides) under Arabidopsis thaliana (thale cress). The record is from RNAcentral. Lineage: Eukaryota; Viridiplantae; Streptophyta; Magnoliopsida; Brassicales; Brassicaceae.